RNAcentral lists this microRNA (22 nucleotides) under Gallus gallus (chicken). RNAcentral describes it as "gga-miR-1763b-5p (MIR1763B)". The record is from RNAcentral. Lineage: Eukaryota; Metazoa; Chordata; Aves; Galliformes; Phasianidae.
UCGCCUUCCCUUCCCGCCUUUC